GACAGAGGGUGCAAACGUUGUUCGGAAUUACUGGGCGUAAAGCGCGUGUAGGCUGCUUCGCAAGUCGGAUGUGAAAGCCCUGGGCUCAACCCAGGAAGUGCAUCCGAAACUGCAGAGCUGGAGUCCUGGAGAGGAAGGCGGAAUUCUCGGUGUAGAGGUGAAAUUCGUAGAUAUCGAGAGGAACACCGGUGGCGAAGGCGGCCUUCUGGACAGUGACUGACGCUGAGACGCGAAAGCGUGGGGAGCAAACAGG
Molecule: ribosomal RNA, 253 nt
Filed under: uncultured bacterium
Lineage: Bacteria
Description: partial 16S ribosomal RNA
Rfam family: Bacterial small subunit ribosomal RNA
Source: RNAcentral